UGAGCGCCUCUCGGGAGUGGGGAUGACGUCUCGCUUCCAUCUCCGCAGCCUGGACGGGAGGCUGGCACGGCGGGCCGGGCGCCUGCUGGAGGAGUGGGGACAGACUGGCUGCCGCGGCUGCCGCGGGCACAGGUGCACUGUGCUUUGGUGUCGCUCCUGCUCCGCGACCUCCUUUUCCAGGUCCUGCACGCCCGGGUCGUGGGUGGCAGUGCCAGGGCAGGGAGAGAGCUGAAGAUGGGAGGUUGGCAAGCUCCUCACAGCUCCCUCGUGGUUGUAGGCAUCUACGCCCCUGUCCGCCAACUGCUCCUUGACUCUCUGAUGGUGACAGCGUGCCAUGCAGAGGGUUGAGACAGGAGGGCUGCGGGGCUGUCCCCACGCAUGUGACUUCCGUAUUGUGCUUGAAGUGGUGUCGUUGCCAGGAGCGGCCCGGCCCCGGAGACCCUCCUGACCCCAAAGCCCUGAGGGGCCCUUGGCCGUGCGGUCCCUGAGAGGAGGAAAGACCUUCGCUGCUUUGCCGAGAUCACGAGAGCCGCCCGAAGCCCUGGGAACCUUCCUCCACUUCCCAUGGUGGUGCCACCUGGGUCACGAAGCGCAGCGAAUGGGCAACUCCCAAACCUGCCCGCCGUAAGUAGGUUCUGCCGUCCGCCGCAUCAAGACAAAACAUGAGACCUU
This is a long non-coding RNA of Talpa occidentalis (Iberian mole), 672 nucleotides long. RefSeq lists it as uncharacterized. The transcript is spliced from 5 exons. NCBI's taxonomy places the organism in Eukaryota, Metazoa, Chordata, Mammalia, Eulipotyphla, Talpidae. The record is from RefSeq and is a predicted model, not a curated record.